UGAAUCAUAAAAUCUCUACUUUCUCUUGCAGAAAGCUAAAGAAUAAUAAAAGUUUCUGCAAGACAGGACCCCUCCUUAUACCAAAGUUUUCAAGAGUUAGAAAUUCAUCUUGUUUCUGUGUUCUGGUGCUACUAGCAAACAGGAGCAGCAGCAGAGAUUUUAACAGCACAAAAUAGCAAGAGAACUGGAAGAGAAAGAUGGAAGCUCACCAAGCCUUCCUGCAGACAAACUCUCUAUUAUGGCUGAAUCCAUUCUGAUUUCCUCUUUUCCCUCCUGAAAUCCUCUCAUUUCCUGUGUCAAUCACAAUGAACAACCUGUG
This 319-nucleotide long non-coding RNA is filed under the name Cyanistes caeruleus (blue tit). Its description in RNAcentral is "lncRNA (ENSCCEG00000012863.1)". The record is from RNAcentral. Lineage: Eukaryota; Metazoa; Chordata; Aves; Passeriformes; Paridae.